CGCGCGCAGGUGGUUCUUUAAGUCUGAUGUGAAAGCCCACGGCUCAACCGUGGAGGGUCAUUGGAAACUGGGGAACUUGAGUGCAGAAGAGGAAAGUGGAAUUCCACGUGUAGCGGUGAAAUGCGUAGAGAUGUGGAGGAACACCAGUGGCGAAGGCGACUUUCUGGUCUGUAACUGACACUGAGGCGCGAAAGCGUGGGGAGCGAACAGGAUUAGAUACCCUGGUAGUCCACGCCGUAAACGAUGAGUGCUAAGUGUUAGAGGGUUUCCGCCCUUUAGUGCUGCAGCUAACGCAUUAAGCACUCCGCCUGGGGAGUACGGCCGCAAGGCUGAAACUCAAAGGAAUUGACGGGGGCCCGCACAAGCGGUGGAGCAUGUGGUUUUAUUCGAAGCAACGCGAAGAACCUUACCAGGUCUUGACAUCCUCUGACAACCCUAGAGAUAGGGCUUUCCCCUUCGGGGGACAGAGUGACAGGUGGUGCAUGGUUGUCGUCAGCUCGUGUCGUGAGAUGUUGGGUUAAGUCCCGCAACGAGCGCAACCCUUGAUCUUAGUUGCCAGCAUUCAGUUGGGCACUCUAAGGUGACUGCCGGUGACAAACCGGAGGAAGGUGGGGAUGACGUCAAAUCAUCAUGCCCCUUAUGACCUGGGCUACACACGUGCUACAAUGGAUGGUACAAAGAGCCCGCAAACCCGCGAGGGCAAGCUAAUCUCAUAAAGCCAUUCUCAGUUCGGAUUGCAGGCUGCAACUCGCCUGCAUGAAGCCNGAAUCGCUAGUAAUCGCGGAUCAGCAUGCCGCGGUGAAUACGUUCCCGGGCCUUGUACACACCGCCCGUCACACCACGAGAGUUUGUAACACCCGAAGUCGGUGAGGUAACCCUUUUG
Molecule: ribosomal RNA, 883 nt
Filed under: uncultured Bacillus sp.
Lineage: Bacteria; Bacillati; Bacillota; Bacilli; Caryophanales; Bacillaceae
Description: bacterial SSU rRNA
Rfam family: Bacterial small subunit ribosomal RNA
Source: RNAcentral